Molecule: unclassified non-coding RNA, 336 nt
Filed under: soil metagenome
Description: partial contains 5.8S ribosomal RNA, internal transcribed spacer 2, and large subunit ribosomal RNA
Rfam family: 5.8S ribosomal RNA (bases 1-120)
Source: RNAcentral
GAUGAAGAACGUAGUGAAAUGCGAUAAGUAGUGUGAAUUGCAGAAUUCAGUGAAUCAUCGAAUCUUUGAACGCACAUUGCGCCCCUUGGUAUUCCAUGGGGCAUGCCUGUUCGAGCGUCAUUUGUACCCUCAAGCUUUGCUUGGUGUUGGGUGUUUGUCUCGCCUUUGCGUGUAGACUCGCCUUAAAAUAAUUGGCAGCCGGCGUAUUGAUUUCGGAGCGCAGUACAUCUCGCGCUUUGCACUCAUAACGACAGCGUCCAAAAGUACAUUUUACACUCUUGACCUCGGAUCAGGUAGGGAUACCCGCUGAACUUAAGCAUAUCAAUAAGCGGAGGA